UACAGAGGGUGCAAGCGUUAAUCGGAAUUACUGGGCGUAAAGCGCACGUAGGCGGGUCGUUAAGUCAGGGGUGAAAUCCCGGAGCUCAACUCCGGAACUGCCUUUGAUACUGGCGACCUUGAGGCUGGAAGAGGUUAGUGGAAUUCCCAGUGUAGAGGUGAAAUUCGUAGAUAUUGGGAAGAACACCAGUGGCGAAGGCGGCUAACUGGUCCAGAUCUGACGCUGAGGUGCGAAAGCGUGGGGAGUAAACAGG
Molecule: ribosomal RNA, 253 nt
Filed under: uncultured bacterium
Lineage: Bacteria
Description: partial 16S ribosomal RNA
Rfam family: Bacterial small subunit ribosomal RNA
Source: RNAcentral